Molecule: ribosomal RNA, 1371 nt
Filed under: uncultured bacterium
Lineage: Bacteria
Description: bacterial SSU rRNA
Rfam family: Bacterial small subunit ribosomal RNA
Source: RNAcentral
GAUGAACGCUGGCGGCGUGCCUAAUACAUGCAAGUCGAGCGAACGGACGAGAAGCUUGCUUCUCUGAUGUUAGCGGCGGACGGGUGAGUAACACGUGGAUAACCUACCUAUAAGACUGGGAUAACUUCGGGAAACCGGAGCUAAUACCGGAUAAUAUUUUGAACCGCAUGGUUCAAAAGUGAAAGACGGUCUUGCUGUCACUUAUAGAUGGAUCCGCGCUGCAUUAGCUAGUUGGUAAGGUAACGGCUUACCAAGGCAACGAUGCAUAGCCGACCUGAGAGGGUGAUCGGCCACACUGGAACUGAGACACGGUCCAGACUCCUACGGGAGGCAGCAGUAGGGAAUCUUCCGCAAUGGGCGAAAGCCUGACGGAGCAACGCCGCGUGAGUGAUGAAGGUCUUCGGAUCGUAAAACUCUGUUAUUAGGGAAGAACAUAUGUGUAAGUAACUGUGCACAUCUUGACGGUACCUAAUCAGAAAGCCACGGCUAACUACGUGCCAGCAGCCGCGGUAAUACGUAGGUGGCAAGCGUUAUCCGGAAUUAUUGGGCGUUAAGCGCGCGUAGGCGGUUUUUUAGUCUGAUGUGAAAGCCCACGGCUCAACCGUGGAGGGUCAUUGGAAACUGGAAAACUUGAGUGCAGAAGAGGAAAGUGGAAUUCCAUGUGUAGCGGUGAAAUGCGCAGAGAUAUGGAGGAACACCAGUGGCGAAGGCGACUUUCUGGUCUGUAACUGACGCUGAUGUGCGAAAGCGUGGGGAUCAAACAGGAUUAGAUACCCUGGUAGUCCACGCCGUAAACGAUGAGUGCUAAGUGUUAGGGGGUUUCCGCCCCUUAGUGCUGCAGCUAACGCAUUAAGCACUCCGCCUGGGGAGUACGACCGCAAGGUUGAAACUCAAAGGAAUUGACGGGGACCCGCACAAGCGGUGGAGCAUGUGGUUUAAUUCGAAGCAACGCGAAGAACCUUACCAAAUCUUGACAUCCUUUGACAACUCUAGAGAUAGAGCUUUCCCCUUCGGGGGACAAAGUGACAGGUGGUGCAUGGUUGUCGUCAGCUCGUGUCGUGAGAUGUUGGGUUAAGUCCCGCAACGAGCGCAACCCUUAAGCUUAGUUGCCAUCAUUAAGUUGGGCACUCUAAGUUGACUGCCGGUGACAAACCGGAGGAAGGUGGGGAUGACGUCAAAUCAUCAUGCCCCUUAUGAUUUGGGCUACACACGUGCUACAAUGGACAAUACAAAGGGCAGCGAAACCGCGAGGUCAAGCAAAUCCCAUAAAGUUGUUCUCAGUUCGGAUUGUAGUCUGCAACUCGACUACAUGAAGCUGGAAUCGCUAGUAAUCGUAGAUCAGCAUGCUACGGUGAAUACGUUCCCGGGUCU